This 166-nucleotide unclassified non-coding RNA is filed under the name uncultured Nectriaceae. RNAcentral describes it as "sequence contains ITS2". The record is from RNAcentral. Lineage: Eukaryota; Fungi; Ascomycota; Sordariomycetes; Hypocreales; Nectriaceae.
CAACCCCUCAGGCCCCUGGGCUUGGUGUUGGGGAUCGGCCCGCCCCUGGCGGCGGCGCCGGCCCCGAAAUCGAGUGGCGGUCUCGCUGCAGCCUCCUCUGCGUAGUAGCACACACCUCGCACCGGGACGCAGCGCGGCCACGCCGUGAAACCCCCAACUCUCUCAA